This 241-nucleotide ribosomal RNA is filed under the name uncultured Actinomycetales bacterium. RNAcentral describes it as "partial 16S ribosomal RNA". It matches the Rfam family "Bacterial small subunit ribosomal RNA", at positions 89 to 334 of the family's 1533-position model. Lineage: Bacteria; Bacillati; Actinomycetota; Actinomycetes; Actinomycetales. The record is from RNAcentral.
ACUCGAGUGGCGAACGGGUGAGUAACACGUGGGUGAUCUGCCCUGCACUUCGGGAUAAGCCUGGGAAACUGGGUCUAAUACCGGAUAGGAGCCAUUUUUAGUGUGAUGGUUGGAAAGUUUUUCGGUGUAGGAUGAGCUCGCGGCCUAUCAGCUUGUUGGUGGGGUAGUGGCUUACCAAGGCUUUGACGGGUAGCCGGCCUGAGAGGGUGACCGGCCACAUUGGGACUGAGAUACGGCCCAG